Molecule: transfer RNA, 88 nt
Filed under: Cyanothece sp. SIO2G6
Lineage: Bacteria; Bacillati; Cyanobacteriota; Cyanophyceae; Gomontiellales; Cyanothecaceae
Also listed under: 1 other name
Description: tRNA-Leu
Rfam family: tRNA
About the family: Transfer RNA (tRNA) molecules are approximately 80 nucleotides in length. Their secondary structure includes four short double-helical elements and three loops (D, anti-codon, and T loops).
Source: RNAcentral
GCGGAACUGGCGGAAUUGGUAGACGCGCUAGAUUCAGGUUCUAGUGUCCGAUUUAAAGGACAUUCGGGUUCAAGUCCCGAGUUCCGCA